This 359-nucleotide ribosomal RNA is filed under the name uncultured bacterium. RNAcentral describes it as "bacterial SSU rRNA". It matches the Rfam family "Bacterial small subunit ribosomal RNA", at positions 8 to 353 of the family's 1533-position model. The record is from RNAcentral.
AGAGUUUGAUCAUGGCUCAGGAUGAACGCUAGCUACAGGCUUAACACAUGCAAGUCGAGGGGCAGCGAUGGUCUUAGCUUGCUAAGGCCGAUGGCGACCGGCGCACGGGUGAGUAACACGUAUCCAACCUGCCGUCUACUCUUGGGACAGCCUUACUGAAAGGAAGACUUAAUACAAGAUGGCAUCAUGAGUUCACAUGUUCACAUGUAUUAAAGGUUUUCCGGUAGACGAUGGGGAUGCGUUCCAUUAGAUAGUAGGCGGGGUAACGGCCCACCUAGUCUUCGAUGGAUAGGGGUUCUGAGAGGAAGGUCCCCCACAUUGGAACUGAGACACGGUCCAAACUCCUACGGGAGGCAGCA